GACGAACGCUGGCGGCGUGCUUAACACAUGCAAGUCGAACGGUUGGCACUGGAAGGUUCGCUGGAAGGUGCCGAUAGUGGCGGACGGGUGAGUAACGCGUGAGGACAUGGCUCCAGGAGGGGGAUAACGUUUGGAAACGGACGCUAAGACCCCAUAUGCCGGAAGGUGAAACUGGGUAACCAGCCUGGAGAGUGACUCGCGUCCUAUCAGCUAGUUGGUGGGGUGAAGGCCUACCAAGGCGAUGACGGGUAGCCGACCUGAGAGGGUGGCCGGCCACACUGGGACUGAGACACGGCCCAGACUCCUACGGGUGGCUG
Molecule: ribosomal RNA, 317 nt
Filed under: uncultured Synergistota bacterium
Lineage: Bacteria; Thermotogati; Synergistota
Description: bacterial SSU rRNA
Rfam family: Bacterial small subunit ribosomal RNA
Source: RNAcentral